UCUGUCCACAAAAGAAGAGAAAGGUGACUGUUUUGCAGGCCACAGGAGAGAAAUACCUUGCGUGCUCGCUGGACAAUAAAUAGAUUUGUAGCUAGUUGCUUUUGUGGGAAAAAGUUGCUUAGGUGGUCUGAAAAG
Long non-coding RNA from Etheostoma cragini (Arkansas darter), 135 nucleotides. RefSeq lists it as uncharacterized. Lineage: Eukaryota; Metazoa; Chordata; Actinopteri; Perciformes; Percidae. The transcript is spliced from 3 exons. The record is from RefSeq and is a predicted model, not a curated record.